This is a long non-coding RNA of Pomacea canaliculata, 437 nucleotides long. RefSeq lists it as uncharacterized. The record is from RefSeq and is a predicted model, not a curated record. The transcript is spliced from 3 exons. NCBI's taxonomy places the organism in Eukaryota, Metazoa, Mollusca, Gastropoda, Architaenioglossa, Ampullariidae.
AAGCUGCUUUUCUGAUCCUUAGAAUCUAGGGCUUUCUUAUAUAAAUUUACAUGAAGAGAUUUUACUUAACAGAAAGUGUUGUAUGUCAUCUUGGCAGAUAACACACAACUACUGACGGAACACACUUCACGGCCACAUUCAGGUUAAACCCUCCUCCUCUGUUUUCUCCUCGUUGGUUGCUUACCAUGAUGUUCACCAUGGGAACCCUUGUGGCUGUCAUGGUCUUCAUAUCUCAUGUGUAUUAUACCAACGGUGACAAUGUCACUGCAGUCGCCGGGCAAGUCAACAACCUGACGUCACAGAACUACCCGUUAAACUAUUACAAUAACACCGACCUACAGUGGAUGAUUCACUCUACCAGUGGUUUUCUCGUGAAGGUGACUAUUUUAAAUGCCACUAUGGAGCCAUGUUGUGACUAUGUCCAGAUUUUUGACGGU